This 400-nucleotide ribosomal RNA is filed under the name uncultured bacterium. Its description in RNAcentral is "bacterial SSU rRNA". It matches the Rfam family "Bacterial small subunit ribosomal RNA", at positions 355 to 747 of the family's 1533-position model. The record is from RNAcentral.
UAGGGAAUAUUGCACAAUGGGCGCAAGCCUGAUGCAGCGAUGCCGCGUGAGUGAGGAAGGCCUUCGGGUUGUAAAGCUCUGUCCUGAGGGAAAAAUAGCAAUAGAGUGAAUAAUAUAUUGUUUGAUGGUACCUUGGAAGAAAGCACCGGCUAACUUCGUGCCAGCAGCCGCGGUAAUACGAAGGGUGCAAGCGUUGUUCGGAUUUAUUGGGCGUAAAGGGCGCGUAGGCGGAUCUUUAAGUCAGAUGUGAAAUGUCUGGGCUCAACCCAGAAAGUGCGUCUGAAACUGGAGAUCUAGGAUACUGGAGAGGAAAGCGGAAUUUCGCAUGUAGGAGUAAAAUCCGUAGAGAUGCGAAGGAACACCGGAGGCGAAGGCGGCUUUCUGGCCGGUAAUCGACGCU